AUGGAGAAGGAGAGGAGGCUGCAGAGCCAUGGCCGUAGCAAGCGACCGCGCAAGGAGAUCCAGGUCUCGGAGGAGGAGAUUGGGUGGGAAAGGGACCUCCGCGCCCAUCUGUCGACUCGCAGGGAGACACAGUCCACGGCUGGUCGGGGUUCAGUUGAGGCCCGUGGCUCGCGUUCGCGUUCUCCUCGGCGCUCGGCGUCUUGGGGGAUGGAGUCAUCCAGGGAGGCCUCUCCGCCCCUCCCCCUCCCCCACCAGGCCUCCCCCCCAUUCAGGGCCAGCAGAGGAUGCAAAACAGGCCUGGGGCGGGGCGUCGCGCCAGUGGGGCGGGGAGGGAGAUCGGCGUAG
RNAcentral lists this ribosomal RNA (345 nucleotides) under Triticum aestivum (bread wheat). Its description in RNAcentral is "partial small subunit ribosomal RNA". Lineage: Eukaryota; Viridiplantae; Streptophyta; Magnoliopsida; Poales; Poaceae. The record is from RNAcentral.